RNAcentral lists this non-coding RNA (320 nucleotides) under Volvox carteri f. nagariensis. Its description in RNAcentral is "Bacterial small subunit ribosomal RNA". It matches the Rfam family "Bacterial small subunit ribosomal RNA", at positions 547 to 873 of the family's 1533-position model. The record is from Rfam by way of RNAcentral. Lineage: Eukaryota; Viridiplantae; Chlorophyta; Chlorophyceae; Chlamydomonadales; Volvocaceae.
GGAAUGAUUGGGCGUAAAGCGUCUGUAGGUGGCUCGUAAAGUCUAAUGUCAAAUACCAGGGCUCAACCUUGGAUCGGCAUUAGAGCACUCACGAGCUUGAGUACGGUAGAGGCAGAGGGAACUCCAAGUGGAGCGGUGAAAUGCGUAGAGAUUUGGAAGAACACCAGAGGCGAAGGCGCUCUGCUGGGCCGAAACUGACACUGAGAGACGAAAGCUGGGGGAGCGAAUAGGAUUAGAUACCCUAGUAGUCCCAGCCGUAAACUAUGGAGACUAAGUGCUGCCGCAAGCAGUGCUGUAGCUAACGCGUUAAGUCUCCCGCC